This 486-nucleotide ribosomal RNA is filed under the name uncultured bacterium. RNAcentral's name for it is "partial 16S ribosomal RNA". It matches the Rfam family "Bacterial small subunit ribosomal RNA", at positions 29 to 507 of the family's 1533-position model. The record is from RNAcentral.
AUUGAACGCUGGCGGCAUGCCUUACACAUGCAAGUCGAACGGCAGCACGGGUGCUUGCACCUGGUGGCGAGUGGCGAACGGGUGAGUAAUACAUCGGCACAUGUCCUCUGGUGGGGGGAAGCCCGGCGAAAGCCGGAUCAAUAACGCAUACGAUCUACGGAUGACAGCGGGGGACCUUCGGGCCUCGCGCUGUAGGGGUGGCGGAUGGCUGAUUAGCUAGUGGGGGGGGGAAAGGCCUACCAAGGCGACGAUCAGGAGCUGGUCUGAGAGGACGACCGGCCACACUGGGACUGAGACACGGCCCAGACUCCUACGGGAGGCAGCAGUGGGGAAUUUUGGACAAUGGGCGAAAGUCUGAUCCAGCAAUGCCGCGUGUGUGGAGAAGGCCUUCGGUUUGUAAAGCACUUUUGUCCGGAAAGAAAUCCUUGGCCCUAAUACGGUCGGGGGAUGACGGUACCGGAAGAAUAAGCACCGGCUAACUACGUG